UCAAUAUAUUGCUCUUAUGGCCCCAAUAAGUUUGUUCCAUUCAGCUCAUUUAUGAGUCUUCUAAGUGUGAAUUCAUUUUGCUGCAGUAAGACUUUGAAAAUUGUAAGAGAGUCGAAUCUCAAAUCUCUCUCCCAGCCCCAUAAUGCCAUGUGAGACUCUCCGUUCCACCAAACAAUAGUUUUUGUUGAAAUGCCCAUCGACCGGUACAAACAGAGAGGCUAAGUUGUGGUUGUGCCGCUAGCAAGUUGUCCUACCCAUCUACCAGUACAAACAGGGAGGCUAAGUUUUGGUUCAUGGUGUGAGCAAUUUGGAGCACAAAUUAGAGCCGUAGUCAAUCUAUCUCACUAUUUCAACUCUUUGCUAUCUUGCUUAUUUGUUUGGAAAAGGUUAUGGUCGAGAGAGCGAGAAUUCUUAAUUUAGAUAUGAGCAAGUUAUGUUAAUCAAAUGACAUUUCCUAUUCUCUUUUGUUUAGUUGACAACUAUUAAUAAGU
Molecule: long non-coding RNA, 491 nt
Organism: Rhododendron vialii
Lineage: Eukaryota; Viridiplantae; Streptophyta; Magnoliopsida; Ericales; Ericaceae
Exons: 3
Source: RefSeq, a predicted model, not a curated record